CACCUACCGAGCUAACUUACUCUUUAUAACGGCUUCCGGGGUUCCGUGACUUGCGAACCUGAUCCCUGGGGAUGAACGCUUUGGCUGUGUUCGGUCUUUUGCUACAACCACAAUUCUCAUGAACUUUCAGAUCUAUUAUCUCAUUCUUCUCAAGAAACUGCCCAUGUAAUUUGAAAGUGAGGAGCUUCCAACCCUGAAAUGAAGAAAAAUCUCUCAGAGAUGGGGCCAGAAAGUUUACUGCCAAGGCAAAGAGGCCAGCCAGAGAUACGGAGCUGGGCCCUCGGCACAGUCCGAGUGAGGCAGGGAUUAUGCAGUAAAGAGGAAGACAGCUUAGAACAAACUGCCAGAACAGGGUGGUCGGCAGGUUUCUGCUUGGGUUGCUCUAUAUAGAAGGCCUGAGACCCCAAAUGAAACUUCCAAAAGAGAUUCCCUUGGCCUUUUGUUAACUGGAAAAUAAAUCCUUCACCAUCCCUCCUCCCAUGCCCCGUGCCCCGCCCUACAAAGCAGAGCCUCCUGAAGCAGCAUUUACUGUCAGGAAGACAGGAAAAGGAGCAUCUGGCAGGGAGUGACUCUUUUCCUUUCCAUUGCCACUGGUGCUUCCUCAAUACAGACCAGUCAUAGGGUGCAUACUCCCGGCAAGCUUAGCAACCAAUCCUUCGUAAGCUGUUCUUCCUUAUGGCGACACAACGUCAGGAUGCAGCAAAACAUCCCAACACCAUUUACUCCUCUGAUAGUGGUUUAUAGUCAAAUUCUUUUUGAGUUAGCAGUUUCUAUUGACUUCAUGGGGAUAUUAAGGGCCUCUGAGGCAGUAGGAAUAUCUCUGUUUGAUGGAAGAGGAGACAGAGGCAGGAUUCAAACAAAAAGGCAGUAUUGCUAAGGACAGAAACACUGACUUGGGAGUCAGAGAGGCCCAAGUUCAUAUCUCUUUUACUUUGCUGUGAGAUUUGGGGCAUAUCUCUUAUACAUCCAGAAGAGAUUAUGAUGAGGGUAAUGAUGAUGCCAACCUCAUAGCAUCAUGCUGACAAUUCCAUUAGAUACCACCUUUGAAGCACUUAGCACAGUGCUUGACAUGGAGGCAGUGGUCGAUAAAUGAUAACUUGAAGAAAGAUAAAGUAGUAGUGUACCAGAAAGAAAGCCCAUGUCCACCUGUUCCUGGGGUCAGUGGCUGGGUGGAGUUCUAGAGUUUGAGGAGUUUCCAGAGUUCUGGAAUCCUAAGAUAGAAAAGGGAACAUGGGUAGAAUAUCAACAAGGAGUCCAUUCUUCUCAGGGCAUGUAACGUGCAGACCAUCUCUUUAUCUACAAUCUUAGACUAUUCAUAGAGACUCAAAAAGUUGUUGAAAGUAGCCUUACAAGGGUUUACAAAAAUUAGCCUCUGGUUCCAGGAAAAUUUAAAUUUCUUUUCCUUCAAAAAUCUUUGAAAGCAAAAUUCACCUCUAAACAACAAAAUGGAAACAUGGUUUGCAACAGAGAUGGUCAGAGUUAAUACCUGUGGUGGAAGAGAUUAUUGUCAAAAAUAUUUAUUCUCUCCUCUCUCCACCUCCAUGGGCAGAGUAUGCAUCCUUGCCGUGGGCUCUGGGAGCAGCACAUGACUUGUUUUGACCAAUGGAAUGUUAGCAAGUGCAGUAGCCCAGAUGGUGAAGAAUUGAACUUGUGCUCCUGUGCUUCUGCCAUCACCUUGGAAAGAACCUGCCAAGCUAGCCUGUGGUCCCAUGAGAUGGACGAGAGACGCAUGGAGCAGAGCUGGCCCGACUGGGUCCAGCCUAUAUCAGUUAACCCAGAGAGGCAUGAGCUAAACAAAUGCUAUUUCCGUAUGAGAUCCUGUGAUUGUUUCUUAGGCACUCCUACUGAAGCAAUAAUUAAUGACAUGGAAGCUGAUACCACUGGCAUAGAAAUGGGAUUCUGCAAUAACAGAAAGCUAAAAUAUAUGGCAUUGAGCUUUGAAACCGGACAGUAGGUGAAGGCUAGAAAAAUGGCAACUUGUGUUACAUAGUGGUGAGAUAUUUGGUAAAACUACAUCCAGCAGUAACUUGGAAGAUAGAAAAUAUAUGUAAUGAACUUGUGAACUUGGGCAGGAUGUUGAAAACAUGAGCUGACUUCUUUUACUGUAUGUGAGAUAAGAUACUAUAAAAAAAGAGACAAUCUUAGAAAAGAACUGAUCAAUUUGCACUCAGAAUUUAGAGAGAAUAAUAAAAUAAUUUCUUAUCUCUAGUCUCUCCCCCCCAUGUAAAUUCUCAAAUUAAAAUAUAGCCUAGACCAAACUAAAUUACAGCAUAGACCAAAUAUAGGAAGCUGCCAAUAUAGCAUGGGGGGCUCAGGAUAAAGACCACAACAAGAGUGUAACAGCCUCUGUUAGGACCUCUAGAAGAAUUAAGGUAGUGCUAGUAGAGCCCCUGACCUGGAUAAAAGAGAUCCUAGGGAUUUUAAACACAUAGUCCCUAGGGAAACCAGGGAAAUGCAUCUCUCACGUCUCCCACUGUAGGAGCAUAAUUGAAAAGCCCAGCUACCGCACUCUGAACUCCAUCCCCACUCUCACUCCGAGGCCACACUUGCCAGGGGCUGUUCCCAGCCAGUGAUGGAGCAUGGUGGGGAUUCCAAGCAGACCUGCACCUAGAAGACAUGGGACACCUCUGACAAGCUACUUUAGCUUGAACACUCCCCUGAAGCUUUGCUGGACUCUCUUAGAGCUUUACUGUGGACUGAGAUGCUGCCACCCAACCUUCCUUCCCCUCCUCUCACCUUCAACAGGCGACAGACCUAUAUUACAGGCUGACAGCCCUCCCAGCAUCCCUCAUGUCCCUCCCCAUUUUUUCUCAUACUAUCUUGGCAUCUGGUUCUCAAAGGACACUGCUAACACAAGUGGCCCCAGAAGUGGCCCGAGAAGAAAAAGAUGAGGAUUUGGGACUGGAUCCCACCCCGACUUUUGUUGGUAGAUGCUCAGAUUGCUAAAGAUUCAUCAGUAGUAUCCUGGGGAAUGUCCCAGUGGAGAAGAAUGCAGUGGCAUCUUAAAAAUAUGGGAAGAACGCUGCCUAUAAACACUGUAGUUUUGGCUAAUUACUGCUAAGUUAUACAGAUGCCCUGCAAAGGGACAGAGACUGAGGGCCACUAACAAUUAAUGGUGAAGUGUGAGAACUAGAGGGUCUCUGAAGAUACUCCCAACGAGGUCCUUAUCUCCUGCAGUGGAAGAACAAACACAGCUAAGUGGCAGGCUCAAUGUCUAACUGUUAGUCACAGAGCUCCACAAACAUUUAAAUACUCAGCCAAUGCAGAUUUCUUAUGCAAAAGAGAGAGCCUUGGAGGGCAAAACCUGGGACCCUGAAAUGUGAUACAGGGACUUCUGGACAGAAGAUGUUGACCCUGCAGACUUCCCAUCCUUCCAGAGCCUCUGGGCUUGCAGACAUGGCCUACCCUUCCCUACUAAGAGCUAGCACUUCGGUGAUGGACAAUGCUGCAAGGCCCUCUCCCUCACAAGGCAAUAUGUGCCCCCUUAGAAGCUGACCCCAUGCCCUCUCCUGGUUGCUAGGCCAAUAACCUGAGUUAAAUUUCAUAAGAACCCAACUGGAGACAUGCUGUGCCUGACAGGAGAGGAAAGAGACUAUACACUGAAGGAAUUACAAGAAUCAGACUGCAUGUCCCAGCAGAAGCCAGGGGAGUACUCCCGGGAUUGAGUUUGAAGGCGCUUGAUCAAAGCAGCCAGAAGGUGAGACUGGGUAUGAAAACAUUAACGGACUUCAGGGUACUUUCUCUGAUUAAUGGAUUUAACACCCUAGGAAGGACCCCAGUGCAAACAGCUGCUGGGAUGGCUCUUAAAACUCUGGAAAAGCAAUGGCCACCCAGCGAACUGGAAAUGCUCUAAUUGCCCUGGCGGACAGUAGAGGAAGGCCUGAAGAGGCCAAGGGAAGUGGGCGUGCUGGAGUGGACAUAGUGUGUGAGGCCAGAAGACCCACGAGGGCACAAUGUUCCAUAGGGGGGUCCCAAAGACCACUCUUCAACUAGGCCACCAAUCACCAAGAAGAUUGGUGGGGGCCAGAUUUAGCAAAUAAACUAUAGGAUCCCCAGUUGCAUUUAAUGAUAGAAAAGCCAGGGUUACUAAUAUCCAUGGAAAUGACAGCGCUCCAAAGACUUAGAGGCAACAGGGUGCCACCUACUAUCUAUAAUCCAAAAAAGGCACAAGUAGAAGAACAGGAGGCUGACGGCAGACUGUCACCUCAAACAGAAAACACCAUCUCUUGUCCAAUUCCCAGACCUGGCUGGAACCACUGACUGGACAGAUGACUGGAUUUCUAGGAGGGAAGACCCUGCCAUGCCGUGGCAGAUAUAUACUGAGUGAUUUCCCAAAGGCUUCUACCGCCAUUUAUUCAGGUGACCGCAUGUCAUGCAAAGGGAAAUAACCAGAAUUUUCCAGGACCACUGAACAUAGGGUCUAAGUUGACACUUAAAUCCAGAGACCCAAGGCAUCAUAAUGACUCCCCUGUUAGGACUAAGGCCUCUGGAGCCAGGUAACAACUGUAAUCCUGGCUAAUACAGCCCACACAGGGCCCACGGGGUCCACAGACAUAACUCACACAAUCCCCAAGGGUAUAGUUGGAAAUAAUAUGCUCAGCAGUUGGAGUAACCCCCUCACUGGAGCCCUGGCUUAUAGAAUAGGAGCUAUGACAAUAGGAAAGGCUAAUUGGAAACCUCUGAACUGUUACCCCCUAACGCCUAGCUCAGUAUAGUUUCCCUGGGGGGGAUGGCAGGAUGAAUGUCACCAUUAAUGACCUACAAGAUGCUGGGACUAUAGUCCCUUCACUAUAAUAUCUCCAUUUAAAAUCUCUCUAAAUUCCCUAGUCUGGCCACUGCAGAAACCAACAAACCCUGGAGAGAGGCUGUAUGCCACCACAGGCCUAAUGCAGAGGAGCUGCGAUUGCAGCUGCUGUGUCCAGAGAGACCUUAUUGCAGAGCAGAUUAAUACGGUCUCAGGGUGUGUAAUCACUGCUUUUGUAAAUGCAUUCUUUUCCACUCCAUUCUUUUCCAUUUCCAUCUCCAAAAAGAUAACCAGAAACAGUUUGCAUUUGUGUGGGCAGAAAACAGUAUUCUUUCACAGAUUUGCCACAAGGCUGUGCUGACUCUCCGAUCCUCUGUCACGACAUUAUCUGAAGAGAUCUGACUGCCCAGCCAGCCCCCAGACUCUCACACUGACCCAUUAUGUCAGAACAUCACGCUGAUUGGGAGGGACAGGCAAGAGACUUUGGGAGGACACAGGCUCCAGAGGGGGGUUAUAACACCUGUGAAGAUUCAAGGAUCAGCCACUUGAAUUACGUUCUUAGAGGUCUAAUGGUUGGGAGGCGCCCCAGGAUAUCCUUCCAAAGUGAAAGAAAGGCCAGCCCCUGCACCUUUCAUCUCUACCACUAGGAAGGAAGCACCGUGCCUGGCAGGCUUCUUCAGCUUCUGGACACAACACACUCCACAUCUAGAAAUAUUGCCCUUCUCCUUAUACAGCCAGUAAGAACAUAUUUUUUGAUAAAUGGUUCAUGAUGGGAAAAUUCCUAUUUUUAGCACAUCCUUGAAAAAAUAGCUAUAUACUGACUUUUUAAAAAGCUAACAAUGUAAAAGAGUGUUUAUUUCCCUAUAUCUUCACUAACCCAACUCUUUUUUUGCUGGUUUAAUUGAUAAUACUUCAUUUUUUAAUUUCAUAUUUUUUAUUACUGUGAGGUUAAAGACAUCCAAAUGUAUACAAGCUUUGUGUAUUCCUUCUUUUGUGAACUGACUGUUUAUGAUUUUUUCCCAUUUCAACUGCAACAUUCAUUGUUCUUAUUGAUCUGCAAAAAUUUCUCUAUGUUCAAGAUAGCCCUACUUUAUAUGUAUAUUGUAAACUUUCCCCAGUUUUGUUAUUUGUUUUUUCAUUUUGUUUCUAGUGUUCCUCUUGUCUUUUAAGUAAACCCAAAUGUACGAGUGCCAACAGUAUGCUUACGUGCCACAGGAGCUGUGAAGGAAGCAAAGCACAUAGUCUUUGCCACAGAGGCACUUAGGAUGUAGUGGGGUGCCCGUCAUAAAUACGUGAGUCACCAAGCGAGAGAGCCUCUAAGCCGUCAUGGAUCAUAUUUACAUAAAAGUAGAAUUUCAUGAUCAAACAUAUUUAGGAAACAUUGGGAUAAAAAAAGCUUAAACUGUUUCUUUACCAUAGCACAGCUCAGAACCUUUAGUGUGCUGAAGUGUUUUGUGGCUUUUCAAGGUGUAGGGGGUGUAAUGACAGUAUGUGUCGUUGAGGUUGGUACAGACUUCGUGAAGGAGGUAAAUGUUGAACUGGGCUGUAGAGGCCUUGGCUUGAUUAAAAAAGGACAAUAUUACAGGGACGGGGCCAAGGGGAAGGUAGAACAAGCCAGGACUAAGGCAGAUACAUGGAUCCUCAGAAAACUAAUUAGAACAGGACAUAAGAGAAAGGACAGGGCUAUCUCAUUCACCUUAUUCUCACUGCUGUCUUUCCUUAUGCUUUCUGCCCAAUUUCUCUACAGGAAAAGUGAUCCGGGCCUAUUUCUCUGGCCCAUGUGGUCUGUAUCCUGGAAUCUGUCAGCCCUUAAACCCUGUGCCAUGGGGAGGUGCCCAAACACUCAGGGGCCCCUGGGGGAGAAGGCCUGCCCCCUGACGGUUCUGGGAAAGACGUCCUUGACAGAUGUAGCUCUGCACUCCCUCCCUUCCCUUCCAUGCAGGUUCAGCCAUUGAGCUCUCUGGCACCGAUGCCUCUUAAAUAUUUGCAGAAUGCUCUCCCACGCCCUUCAGUUGGUGCUGAGGUCAAGCCUGCAAGUUCUGCUCAUUUAGGUUUUACUCAUAAAUCAUUCUCUCCCUUCCCCUUCAAUGCUUCAGUGGCUCUUCCUGGAUCACCGCCUCCUUCUAGUCUCCAGGGAAGGACCUGUUCCCACCACUGGCCUCUGAGAAACCCAGGCUGCAAAACCAUCCCUUAGAGCUCUAAUACCACUUCUCUACCUCCAAACCAGAGCAGCAGAGUGAGCUCACCACAUGCCGUGACAUCACCCUCUUGGCUCCAGAGAUGUCCAACCCUGGAUAGAGGGAGGGGGAAUGGGCCCUAUCUUUAGGCAUGGGGUGGGAAGUCAGGACACCUGGGUUGCAUUCCUGGCUCAGCUUGAAGUUUGCACAAGUCACUGACUCUUUCCUGCUGGGACAUGACUUCCCUAACCACACACUGCCCAGCCCUUUGGCUUCCUAUAAUAAAGUCUAAAUGGGCAUCCAUCCAUGGUGUUCAGACACAAGGCUGCAUGAGCAGGAGCUGACCUCCAGGACGAACUUGAGCAUGGCAGUCUCUACCACGUGGUCAUCUCUUUUCUGAUGAUCGCAUUUCUUUAAGAUUCAUUUGCCCUGCUCCCAGAAUCCUGCGUAGGACACAACCAUAAGAUAAUAUGAAUUAAAUAACUCUGCACUGAUCUCACACAGAACUAAUCCUAGUCCAUACCUAUUCUUUGCCAAAAACUUGCUAAACUGUCCUGCUAAAACAAUGUAAAGCAACCCAAGUGCCUAUCAACAGACAAAUGGAUAAGGAAGAUGUGGUUUAUAUAUAUAAUGAAAUACUAUUCAGCCAUAAAAAAAAGACAACAUCGUGCCAUUUGUGACAACAUGGACAGACCUGGAUGGUAUUAUGCUAAGCAAAGUAAGUCAGACAUAGAAAGACAAAUACUGUAUGAUUGCACUCUUACAUGGAAGAAAAUAAACAAACACAGAGAUAAAGAGAACAGAUUGGUGAUUACCAGAGGGGAAGGGGGUGGAGGAGGGUGAGGGGAAAAGGGGCACGUAUGUAUGGUGACACACAAAAACUAGACUAUUGGUGGUGAACACAAUGCAGUCUAUACAGAAGCUGGAAUAUAAUAAUGUACACCUGAAACUUACACAAUGUUAUAAACCAAUGUGACCUCAAUAAAACAAUAUAAAGAAAGAAAGAAAAAAAAAUGCAAAGUAGCUAUCAUACCUAUGUUACAGACGAAGAACCAAGUCCAAAGAAAUUCAGUAAUUUACCCAAAGUCACGCAUUAGAAAGUAGCAGAACAAACGUCCAGAGACUUUUCUGCAACCCCAAACCACUGUGACCUCAGCAGGCAUGAGAGGCAAGCAGAGAACACUGACAAUAGUUACACAUUCUGAAACGUGAAUGGGAAGCUGUUUGAGUUGCAGCUUUGCCCACGUUUCCCUAACCCACCUUGUGCACCUCCUUCCACCCUAUUUUCACUUGAUAUGUUUAGGAGACAGAAACAAAAAUAAGGUAAGCCAUUUUGAAGUCUCCUAUUUGCCUAGAACCAUUAUGCUUGGCCUAGAGGCUUGAGAGAAUAUUCUCAAUACGGCCACGACCAAUCUAUUGGUUGGUCUGUGUCUUUUGACCCAUUUGCCAGAUUUGUUCCAGUCCAGUUGGUAAGACUAAACCUUUGGGAUAAAAACAGUCACAAUGGCCGAGAGGAGAAGGACAAACCAUAAUUAUUAAAAGUACCCAAAGAUCAGGGUGGGGUAGAAAUUGCCAAGAGAUGAAAUGAACGGAAGCAAAGCACAGACUCUGCUCUUCAGUGGCCUCAGUCUUCUGAAGCUGUGGUCUCUGGGCUAUAAGGAGCCUCUGACAUAAGGAGCCCUCAGCACCUGCCCCCAUUCUGAUGGUUGACACAAGGGCCCUUCCACUCUCCUCGGGGGCAGCAGCCUGAGUCUAGAGCCACCCCAGCCUGGCCCCAGGGCCAAGACCGUUCAUCACCCCUGCAGGCCCCUGUGAAUGCACAAGAGUUCCUUUGUUGCCAUCACACUAGGAUCUUUUAUUCUCCCCAAGACCCAGGAGCUUCUGUGUGCACUGGGCCCGCCUCCUCCCUUCCCAAGAUACUUUGAUCCUCCACCCAUUUGAAAUCUUGGUAGCUUUUCAACACCCUCCCAGACAAUCAGGUUCUUUUCUUUUCAAUAACCAAGCUGUUCUCCUUAUUUCGCCUCAGUUCUUAACAAAAAGUCUGACCAAGAAGAGUUCAAGGGGCAGAUGCCAGGAAAACAGCAGAAGCAGCACAUUCAGUUGGUUUCUGUCUGGGCCACUUACGGGGACUGAAAAGAAGUCACCAGCUGGCCUACACACUGCAGAAGAACCUGGCUCAGGCGUUAGAGCCUGUGGCCCCCAGUUCCCACUCGUCCCAAGGAAGGUGUGUGUCAGGAGCCACACCAGGGCUCGCAGAGGGAGCAGUUCUCACCUGGGCGAACAGAAAAGACAGUGCUCACGUCUAGAACUAGAAAAGAUACUGCUCCCAGAGAGGAAAGAAGACCCAAAGGCCUCUGGGAUGGGCCUGAAGGAGUGUUAGGACUUCAGCGGGGGUCGGGGCUGACCUACGCAAUGCCUUCAGGACCCCAGUAUACUGUCCCAAGGCCCGGCUGACACCGCUCUCUUCGGACUUGUGCUCCAUGUGCUGCUAUCAUGAAAAUCUUUGGAAAUCUCAACCAGGUUGUUUUGGUGGCUUAAGGGCUAUAGGAGAAGGGGACCAGAUAUUGCUUUUGAGCUUUGUGGUUGUCUGAAAAGACCAGGCUUGUGCUAGAAAGUUUUGGUUGUCAGAGUGAAGAAGUAAGGAGACUGGCCCAUCGUUCAGAGAACCUGGUAAGAAAAUCUUCAAAGCCAUGAGAACCAGCAUAGAGGAAGGGUCAUGAAUUGUACAAACAAUCCUAAAGGCUAGUCCUAGCUCCACCAUUUAUUUGCCAUGUGCCCUUGAGAAACUAAAAAAGCCAUGAACAUUAGCUUCCUCAUUUGAAUAUGGGGAUAAAAAUAAAUACUUUGAAGGGGUGUUGGAGAACAAAAUGAAAUAGUGUACAUAAAGUACUUGGCUCCUAGCAGGUGCUCCCAAAAUAUUUGUUCUUUCUUCUAAACCUUGAAGAUUCCAUCAGCAUUACGUUUUAAAACAUCUUUUUAAACAAUAGAACCCUUUGUAAAAUUGUCAGGUGUUUUGCCUUAGAAGCUGUGAGAUUUGUAGGAUGUAAUCGGAUAUUAUUUUAAUAACUAUGAGUUGUGUGGUCCUACUGGUCAGGAAGAAUAUGGAAAGGAGAUAUAAUUCCAUUAAUGUCAACGGCCAUUGGAGCUGAAUGGAAAAGAAAUUAAUAUAUCCUAGACAAAGCAAAGCAAAAUCAAGCCAAGUCAUGUAGCAGCCUGAGUUGGUUGUAGGCUUCCAUGACUAGCCUGGGAUGGGGCUUAGUGGAAUAAAAUGAAUGUAAGCAGGGGUGAUACCCUAAAUUCUUAACACCCUGUACAGUGCAGGUCCCAACAAACAGGGCAGAUACCAGUGGCAAGAAGCCGCUGUGCAGCCACACCAGUUUGUACAAUCCUGUGUACAAGGCCAACUGCUCGGACAUCAUGAAGCUCCCGGUGUGGACCACAAACAGGGCUGGCAAGAAUCCAGGCUGACUGCUCUGAAUUCUCCCAAAAUUGCUUGGGAUGGCAUUAUUAUUUCCUCAGUCAGUAAGUAUCUUUUAACUCUGAGAAGAUUUAGAAUGAAGAAGAGAAAUAUUUAAGAGGACCAAACUUAUAAUAUUAAUAUUUAUGCAUUAAGAAGAAAUCUGUGCCGAUUUAGUAGUAUAAGUAUUCGUAAUAAUCAAGAGAAUUUGCCAUAUUAUAAAAUAUACCUGCAUUGAAAAUUCUUAUUUGAAAUGUGUAGUUAAUUGACUCAGACUUGUAUAUUUAAGUUUAAUCUUUCAUAGUUUAUACACAGUUUUGGAACAGUUAAGAGUACUUAAGGAUCACCGUAUAUAUGUUUAUUUUAUUAAAUUUAUAAGAGUUAUUCAAGAAGUUGAGAAGGCUUAUUUUGUUAAGAUAUUGAAGGACUUCAAAAUGAUAAUAAAAUAUUCAAUUUAUGAAUGCAGUUUAAAAAGCUUAGACACAUUUAAGUCUGUAAAUGGGUUCAAUUAUUAAUCAAAGGCCUCCUUAAAAGUGAUUGACAACAUUUGCUAAACUUAUAAAUAGAAUAAGAUUUGUAAAUUGAACUUUAAGGUAAAACUCAGUUUUUGAAUAUAUAACUUUAAUAAAUUGUGUUAAUUUUUAAAAACCAAAGAAACUUCUGAAUAAUAUUUUCUGUAUAUGAAAUCUGUUCCUGAGGGCAAAAAGGAACUCCCCUUUGGGGAGAAAAAAAAUUAAAUCUUAAGAAGAAAUCGCAAUAAAUAAAGCAGAACUCUAAUUGAAGAGGGAUAGGGCCUGGAUCCAGCUUACUGUCUACCUCUUGGCUUCUCUCUCAACCCCAGACAGACGCAAAUCUCACCACCACUUCCAGCCCCGCCCCAUCCACGUUCAGCUCACUCUCCACCCAGCAAGGAGAUGAACUAAGCAGCACAGGGACAGUCAAUGGAGGACACAUACCAAAUAACGUAAAGAUCACUACACCUGAAUUUGCAUAACAAUCUGUGAGAGUUUAGAAAAAGUACUUAAAAUCUCUGAGGUUCAGUUUCUUCUUUUCUAAAGUAGAAAUUUUAAAAAUUUCUACUCUGAAGGUUAUUAAGAAAAGUAUAUAUAAUUCCGUAUUUUUUCAACUUUCACCACUAGCCACUGGGG
Molecule: long non-coding RNA, 11526 nt
Filed under: Equus caballus (horse)
Lineage: Eukaryota; Metazoa; Chordata; Mammalia; Perissodactyla; Equidae
Description: lncRNA (ENSECAG00000060345.1)
Source: RNAcentral